Molecule: unclassified non-coding RNA, 861 nt
Filed under: Hevea brasiliensis (rubber tree)
Lineage: Eukaryota; Viridiplantae; Streptophyta; Magnoliopsida; Malpighiales; Euphorbiaceae
Source: RNAcentral
UUCAACCCAACCAGGGAAAGGUUCUUUGUAAGUACUGGUUAUAAUGGUGGGACGUAAGAUAACUACAGACAAAUUCUCCUUCAAGUGUCCAACAAGCAUCUCUCCCAUUGCUUUUGUAAAUACAUAUGUGUUGGGCCAUCCAUAGACCUUUGCCCUUUGGAUGCCCAUAUCUUUCAUGGCUUCUUUAAUUGCUUCAUUUGAGGCACCUUGAGCUUGGAGUUCAGUUAAUUUUUCAUCGAUAAGUUUCUUCUCUUCAUCAAUGUCUAAUCCAGAGAGGCCAUUAAGUGUCUCACCCAUUCGAUAAGGGGUCUCCAGUAUCAAUCCUGCCUUCUCCCCACAAACAUAAGCAGUGGAUACAUGGACAAGAACUUUGAGAUUAACACAUUUCUUGGCGAAGCAUAAGACAUGCUUGGCUCCCAUUGUGUUGAUACCAAGUGCAACAUCAUAUCUUUCAUCAAAGUUGGUUGUUGCAGCUAAAUUAACAAUUACAUCCAAUUCUCUCCACAUCUCAUCCUUUAAAUAGGAUUCUUUUACCCCAAGGUCCACACCAUAAGAUAUGUCUCCAGGGACAAGAACUAUCUUUUUAGAGAUAAAAGAAUUUAGAUUUGCACCCCAUUUUUCUUUUACCAGUCUAAACAAGUCCUUCCCUAUAACCUCAUUGUGCAAUCGUUGAGAGGCACAUUUAGCAUCUGCAGCUCUUAAAAGAAGAUACAACUUCUUCACAUUUGGUUGCUCUCUCAAUAUCUUCUCCACAAAAAUCUUUGCUAAAAACCCAGUUGCACCAGUGACCAUAAUAUUCUUGUUUUCAAGAAAUUGCAGUACACUUCCAAAUUCCAUUUUUGAACACAGAGACAGAGAGAG